Syngnathoides biaculeatus (alligator pipefish) is the source of this 391-nucleotide long non-coding RNA. RefSeq lists it as uncharacterized. The transcript is spliced from 2 exons. NCBI's taxonomy places the organism in Eukaryota, Metazoa, Chordata, Actinopteri, Syngnathiformes, Syngnathidae. The record is from RefSeq and is a predicted model, not a curated record.
CUCCACAGCACGUCACCUGGAAGACAUCGUGCUGCGGUCUCACUCAGGGCCGAGGCGGGAAUAAAAACCAGUUUUACAAAUGUGUCCUUACCUGACUCUCGGUCGACGGUGACGACAAGGCCGUCGCCGCUGGACACAAGAGAACGCCAUCAGAGCUCCGGCAGGGAGCCGACUGAACCAGCUCCGGAAUGGUGAACGGGAGUUUCUGGAGAACGACAUCGCCGAGAGGGCGUCACGAACCGAACGCGCACGAUCUCGAACUUUAUCCCUCACCAGCAGGCCUUCUUUGUGGUUGCCGCCGAGUAUGUAUAAGCUGCCAUCGUUGGGGUCCGGCAGAAAACCUGGCCUGGGAAAAAAAAUAAAAAAUAAAAUCAGCGUGAUAUUUAAUUUA